RNAcentral lists this long non-coding RNA (452 nucleotides) under Felis catus (domestic cat). Its description in RNAcentral is "lncRNA (ENSFCAG00000053397.1)". The record is from RNAcentral. Lineage: Eukaryota; Metazoa; Chordata; Mammalia; Carnivora; Felidae.
GGAGAAGGGCUCCCCGUGGGCCAAGGCCAGGGGGUGGGUGUGAUUUGGUACAAGCGGGGGCAGAGUCAGGAAAUUGGGCUAGCAUGAGCCAAGGCUCCACAUUGGGAAGAAGGGAGACGUGGAGCUGGGAGGUGAUGCUGGCCUCCGAUAACCAGCCGAGGAGAAGGAGAGGGAAGAGCAGGAAAGAUAUUGGCCCUUCAACACGUGUGGUGUCAUGUGUCCUUACCACCACUUAUGUGUGACAGAAACGAGACUCAGGUUAAGUGACUUGCCCACGGUCACCCAGCUGUCGACUCCAGAUUUAAUCUGGAAAGCCACAGAAAAUCACCGCAGGCAGGUUUGCAGCCUGGGGCAGGACAGAGAGAAAGCAGCCUCGGGUGGGCAGAGGAGCUGAUCUCUAGAGACUGCGCUGGGCUGUGCCUAAUCCAGACACAACGCUAAUCCAAAAAGUA